UUCUGUGGGGGCGGAGCGGCCGGCCGCAACUUGCGGUUCGAGCUAGCGCUUCCCCUACAUCCUGCCGCGAACCGUGCUACCAUUAGUUUGGUGGCGCCGGGGAUCGGCUCGUUUACUUUGAGAAAAAUAGAGUGUUCAAAGCAGGCCACACGCCUUGAAUAAGUUAGCAUGGAAUAAUAAUAAAGGACUUCGGUUCUAUUUUGUUGGUGUUCGGGACUGAAGUAAUGAUUGAUAGGGACAGUUGGGGCGGUCAGUAUUCCAAAGCGAGAGGUGAAAUUCUUAGACCUUCGGAAGACUAACAGCUGCGAAAGCGUUCCGCAAGGAUGUUCCCUUUGAUCAAGAACGAAAGUUGGGGGAUCGAAGACGAUCAGAUACCGUCGUAGUCUCAACUAUAAACUAUACCAGCUAGGGAUCGGCCAACGUUAAAUUAUUCGACUUGGUCGGCACCUUAUGAGAAAUCAAAGCAUCUGGGUUCCGGGGGGAGUAUGGUCGCAAGGCUGAAACUUAAAGGAAUUGACGGAAGGGCACCACCAGCCGUGGAGCCUGUGGCUUAAUUUGACUCAACACGGGAAAACUUACCAGGUCCAGACAUAGUAAGGAUUGACAGAUUGAUAGCUCUUUCUUGAUUCUGUGGGUGGUGGUGCAUGGCCGUUCUUAGUUGGUGGAGUGAUUUGUCUGGUUAAUUCCGUUAACGAACGAGACCCCAGCCUGCUAAAUAGCGCGGUUGAGCUUUGCUCGGCGCGAGCUUCUUAGAGGGACUAUGAUGCGCGAUAGCACAUGGAAGUUUGGGGCAAUAACAGGUCUGUGAUGCCCUUAGAUGUUCUGGGCCGCACACGGGCUACACUGGCGCCUGCAACGAGCAUAUCAGCUGGCCCGAGAGGGUCUUGGCUAAUCUUUUGAACCGGCGCCGUGCUUGGGAUUGACCAUUGCAAUUGUUGGUCAUGCAACGAGGAAUGCCUUGUAAACGCGAGUCAUCAACUCGCAUUGAAUACGUCCCUGCCCUUUGUACACACGCCCGUCGCUCUACGAUGAUG
This 1034-nucleotide ribosomal RNA is filed under the name uncultured eukaryote. RNAcentral describes it as "SSU rRNA". It matches the Rfam family "Eukaryotic small subunit ribosomal RNA", at positions 640 to 1693 of the family's 1831-position model. The record is from RNAcentral.